Pezoporus occidentalis (night parrot) is the source of this 734-nucleotide long non-coding RNA. RefSeq lists it as uncharacterized. The record is from RefSeq and is a predicted model, not a curated record. Lineage: Eukaryota; Metazoa; Chordata; Aves; Psittaciformes; Psittacidae. The transcript is spliced from 3 exons.
ACACUCUUGGUGUUGUGGAAUCCUCAGCCUACAGGAAGAGCUUUAAAUGAUCACCACUCUUUGGUCUCACUUACCUCUUGUAAUGUUGUGCAGGAAUGCAAACCGUGUAUUGCAGUUUGGAUAAAAGCACAGGCCAGCCAGGACACAACAUCUCAAGCAAACAAGAAAUGGCAUUUCCAGCUCCCCCUGCUCACAAAGGAACACAUUUCUUCACCACCCCCAGCAGCACUCGUGCCCGCUAGCACCAGAAGAAGAAAUCUGAUGAUCAUGCCGCUGCUCGGGUCAGUAGCAUGUUACACUGCCUACGUUUUCUUUUGAGCUCUCUAAAAUGUGUUUUGCCUUACCAUUGGCAGUGUUCCUAAAACACUGAUGAGACUGCAAUUACUAAGCACUUUAUAGCUCUAGUCUGUAUAAGUUAGGUGGGUUUUUCUGUGAAUUUUGCAUGAAAUUUUUGUAACAGGUGUGUAAGAAAUGCCUGAUCCAGUGAAGAAAAUACCAACUGAUAUAUUUGCUUUUCAGCAUAUAUACAGAGUUUAAUUUAGCAUAGAGAAGCAACCGAGAAUCAAGUAUUGUUAUGGUAAAACACUUCCUUUCAUCUGGAGUUAUAUGUGAUCCCAUAAUAAAUCCAAAUGUGCAUGAUUGUUAGUGAAAAUUUUAAUUAACACUGUGGCUAGUACUGAGUUUCAGUCUCUGCCCUUAUCUCAGUAUAUUGGGUUUUGUGUAACAUGAGCAUU